UGGGGCGGUCGCCUCCUAAAAGGUAACGGAGGCGCUCAAAGGUUCCCUCAGAAUGGUUGGAAAUCAUUCAUAGAGUGUAAAGGCAUAAGGGAGCUUGACUGCGAGACCUACAAGUCGAGCAGGGUCGAAAGACGGACUUAGUGAUCCGGUGGUUCCGCAUGGAAGGGCCAUCGCUCAACGGAUAAAAGCUACCCCGGGGAUAACAGGCUUAUCUCCCCCAAGAGUUCACAUCGACGGGGAGGUUUGGCACCUCGAUGUCGGCUCAUCGCAUCCUGGGGCUGUAGUCGGUCCCAAGGGUUGGGCUGUUCGCCCAUUAAAGCGGUACGCGAGCUGGGUUCAGAACGUCGUGAGACAGUUCGGUCCCUAUCCGUCGUGGGCGUAGGAAAUUUGAGAGGAGCUGUCCUUAGUACGAGAGGACCGGGAUGGACAUACCUCUGGUGUACCAGUUGUCGUGCCAACGGCAUAGCUGGGUAGCUAUGUGUGGACGGGAUAAGUGCUGAAAG
This 503-nucleotide ribosomal RNA is filed under the name Staphylococcus aureus. RNAcentral describes it as "partial 23S ribosomal RNA". It matches the Rfam family "Bacterial large subunit ribosomal RNA", at positions 2275 to 2777 of the family's 2925-position model. Lineage: Bacteria; Bacillati; Bacillota; Bacilli; Caryophanales; Staphylococcaceae. The record is from RNAcentral.